AAUGGAACUAUUCAAUGAUCCCUUCCCCAAAUUCUUCAUCCGUCAAACUACUCAUACAGGAGUUUUGCUUUCUUCAGGUGCACCUCAAGAAACACAUGUUUCUCAGGAGACUGAUAUACUAACCAAUCUCUAUAAUUAUUUCUAAAUCCUGUCCUUUCAGAGUCUUGUUCUCUCCACUGGUCAUGUGAGGUUCUUAAUCCUCACUUUGCAUCAAAAUCAUUAGAUUAAAAAACAAAACAAAACAAAACCCUAAAACUACAAUACCAAGAACAAUUGAAGCUAAUAUGAAGCCAAGACUGAGAAACACUAACUCAUUGUACUGGGGACUAAACAUCAAGAAUCGCAGAGGAAGGCCUGGAGCUAAGAAUAAAACUCUACCUCACGUUCUAUGUCUAAAGAAGUUACAGAUGUAUGGGACAGACAUCCUCAUGCAGGCAUUAAAGGCAGUUAAUACUUCAGCAGACUCACUUCUCUGAUUAAAGACUUGGAGAAAACAGAGGUCACGCUGGGUGGGUGGCUCACACCUGUAAUCCCAUCACUGCCAAGGCAGGCGGAUCACCUGAGGUCAGGAGUUCAACACCAGCCUGGCCAACAAGAUGAAACCCUAUCUCUACUUUAAAAAAAAGAAAAGAAAAAUUAGCUGGGUGUGAUGCCACACACCUGAAAUCCCAGCUACUUGGGGGGCUGAGGCAGGAGAAUUGCUUGAACUUGGGAGGCGGAGGUUUCAGUGAGCCAAGUUAUGCCACUGCACCCCAGCCUGGGUGACAAAGUGAAACCCUGUCUCAAAAAAAAAAAAGAAAGAAAGAAAGAAAAGAAAGAAAACAGGGGUUAUCUCUUAGGGAGAUGCAUUUUGUGGAGGGCUGACUAUCCCUUCCACCAUCUCUUACUGUUUGGGGAGUUAGAAUGUGACCUAGGCAUUCCACAUGAACUAAAAUGUGCUUCCCACCAACACCACUAAGCUGGGGAUUGGAGAUUGGCUCUGAUCUGAAAGUUGUCACAUCAUUGACCUGACACAGCACCUGAUCCUUGGGAGAGCAGAGGGAGGAGAGAGGUGCUGAAGCUGAGAAGUGCCAGAGGACAGACUGCAUUGCCACUCUUUGGAGUAGCAAGAAUAAAGGGUUUCGCAUGGCACUGAUAAAUACCAAGGAAGGUGGCGGGAGGCUUAAGUCUUCGUGCUUUCCCAUGAAACUGGGUACUAUGGUAUGAAGAAGAUUGUUACACCUGAGAGAGGUCUCCACCUGAAGCCUGGUCAGAAAUAUCCUAUAGAGUCCACUGAAGAACCAGCAUAUGUGUCUCAAGAGAGACCACAUUCAGACUCCUUCCUAUGGAUUCAACCAAAAGACAGUCUGUUGGCCAAAUAAACAGCCACAACCUACGGAGAGAAGUGAGGACAAGACAACCUCACUAGAGGCAGGCAGGUAAGAGGAGUCAAUGUCAGCCUCAGUUUCUACAUCAGAGGGUAACUGUCAGGCCUCUGAGCCCAAGCCAACCCAUCGCAUCCCCUGUGACUUGCACAUAUACGCCCAGAUGGCCUGAAGUAACUGAAGAAUCACAAAAGAAGUGAAUAUGCCCUGCCCCACCUUAACUGAUGACAUUCCACCACAAAAGAAGUGUAAAUGGCCGGUCCUUGCCUUAACUGAUGACAUUACCUUGUGAAAGUCCUUUUCCUGGCUCAUCCUGGCUCAAAAAGCACCCCCACUGAGCAUCUUGCGACCCCCACUCCUGCCCGCCAGAGAACAAACCCCCUUUGACUGUAAUUUUCCUUUACCUACCCAAAUCCUAUAAAACGGCCCCACCCUUAUCUCCCUUCACUGAUUCUCUUUUUGGACUCAGCCUGCCUGCACCCAGGUGAAAUAAAGAGCCAUGUUGCUCACACAAAGCCUGUUUGGUGGUCUCUUCACACCGACGCACAUGAAAUUUGGUGCCGUGACUCAGAUCGGGGGACCUCCCUUGGGAGAUCAAUCCGCUGUACUCCUGUUCUUUGCUCCUUGAGAAAGAUCCACCUAUGACCUCAGGUCCUCAGACCGACCAGCCCAAGGAACAUCUCACCAAUUUUAAAUCGGAUCUUCUCGGCUUAGCGGCUGAAGACUGACACUGCCGGAUCACCUCGGAAGCCCCCUAGACCAUCAUGGACGCCGAGCUUCAGGUAACUCUCACAGUGGAAGGUAAGUCCGUCCCCUUCUUAAUCAAUAGGGAGGCUACCCACUCCACAUUACCUUCUUUUCAAGGGCCUGUUUCCCUUGCUUCCAUAACUGUUGUGGGUAUUGACAGCCAGGCUUCUAAACCUCUUAAAACUCCCCAACUCUGGUGCCAACUUAGACAAUACUCUUUUAAGCACUCCUUUUUUAGUUAUCCCCACCUGCCCUGUUCCCUUAUUAGGCCGAGACACUUUAACUAAAUUAUCUGCUUCCCUGACUAUUCCUGGACUACAGCUAUAUCUCAUUGCCGCCCUUCUGCCCAAUCCAAAGCCUCCUUUGUGUCCUCCUCUUGUAUCCCCCCACCUUAACCCACAAGUAUAAGAUACCUCUACUCCCUCCUUGGCGACCGAUCAUGCACCCCUUACCAUCUCAUUAAAACCUAAUCACCCUUACCCCACUCAACACCAAUAUCCCAUCCCACAGCAUGCUUUGAAAAGAUUAAAGCCUGUUAUCACUCACCUGCUACAGCACGGCCUUUUAAAACCUAUAAACUCUCCUUACAAUUCCCCCAUUUUACCUGUCCUAAAACCAGACAAGCCUUCCAAGUUAGCUCAGGAUCUGCGCCUUAUCGACCAAAUUGUUUUGCCUAUCCACCCUGUGGUGCCCAACCCAUACACUCUUUUGUCCUCAAUACCUUCCUCCACAACUCACUAUUCUGUGCUUGAUCUUAAAGAUGCUUUUUUCACUAUUCCCCUGCACCCCUCGUCCCAGCCUCUCUUUGCUUUCACUUAGACUGACCCUGAGACCCAUUAGACUCAGCAAAUUACCUAGGCUGUACUGCCGCAAGGCUUCAUAGACAGCCCCCAUUACUUCAGUCAAGCCCAAAUUUUAUCCUCAUCUGUUACCUAUCUCGGCAUAAUUCUCAUAAAAACAUACAUGCUUUCCCUGCUGAUCAUGUCCGAUUAAUCUCCCAAACCUCAAUCCCUUACAAAACAGCAACUCCUUUCCUUCCUAGGCAUAGUUAGUGUGGUCAGAAUUCUUACACAAGAGCCAGGACCGCACCCUGUAGCCUUUCUGUGCAAACAACUUGACCUUACUGUUUUAGCCUAGCACUCAUGUCUGCGUGCAGCAGCUACCACUGCUUUAAAAAUUUUAGAGGCCCUCAAAAUCACAAACUAUGCUCAACUCACUCUUUACAGUUCUCAUAACUUCCAAAAUCUAUUUUCUUCCUCAUACCUGACGCAUAUACUUUCUGCUUCCCGGCUCCUUCAGCUGUACUCACUCUUUGUUGAGUUUCCCACAAUUACCAUUGUUCCUGGCCCGGACUUCAAUCCAGCCUCCCACAUUAUUCCUGAUACCACACCUGACCCCCAUGACUGUAUCUCUCUGAUCCACCUGACAUUCACCCCAUUUCCCCAAAUUUCCUUCUUUCCUGUUCCUCACCCUGAUCACGCUUGAUUUAUUGAUGGCGGUUCCACCAGGCCUAAUCGCCACACACCAGCAAAGGCAGGUUAUUCUAUAGUACAAGCCACUAGCCCGCCUCUUAGAACCUCUCAUUUCCUUUCCAUCGUGGAAAUCUAUCCUCAAGGAAAUAACUUCUCAGUGUUCCAUCUUCUAUUCUACUACUCCUCUGGGAUUAUUCACGCCCCCUACCUUCCCUACACAUCAAGCUCGAGGAUUUGCCCCCACCCAGGACUGGCAAAUUAGCUUUACUCAACAUGCCCGAGUCAGGAAAUUAAAAUACCUCUUAGUCUAAAUAGACACUUUCACUGAAUAAGUAAAGGCCUUUCAUACAGGGUCUGAGAAGGCCACCGCAGUCAUUUCUUCCCUUCUGUCAGACAUAAUUCCUCAGUUUAGCCUUCCCACCUCAAUACAGUCUGAUAACAGACGAGCCUUUAUUAGUCAAAUCAGCCAAGCAGUUUUUCAGGCUCUUAGUAUUCACUGAAACCUUUAUAUCCCUUAUGGUCCUCCAUCUUCAAGAAAAGUAGAAUGGACUAAAGGUCUUUUAAAAACACACCUCACCAAGCUCAGCCACCAACUUAAAAAAGACUGGACAAUACUUCUACCACUUUCCCUUCUCAGAAUUCAGGCCUGUCCUCAGAAUGCUACAGGGUACAGCCCAUUUAAGCUCCUGUAUAGAUGCUCCUUUUUAUUAGGCCCCAGUCUCAUUCCAGACAACAGACCAACUUAGACUGUGCCCCGCCCCCCCCCAAAAAAAAACUUGUCAUCCUACUAUUUUCUGUCUAGUCAUACUCCUAUUCACCAUUCUGAACUACUCAUACAUGCCCUGCUCUUGUUUACACUGCCGGUUUACACUGUUUUUCCAAGCCAUCACAGCUGAUAUCUCCUGGUGCUAUCCCCAAACUGCCACUCUUAACUCUUGAAGUAAAUAAAUAAUCUUUGCUGGCAGGACUCUGCCGAAUCUCCUUAAGCACUCUCUAAUCAGAUAUCCUGAGUUGUCCCAAUUCUUAGACCUUUUAUACCUGUUUUUCUCCUUCUGUUAUUCCAUUUAGUUUUUCAAUUCAUACAAAACCGUAUCCAGGCCAUCACCAAUCAUUCUAUACGACAAAUGUUUCUUCUAACAUCCCCACAAUAUCACCCCUUACCACAAGACCUCCCUUCAGCUUAAUCUCUCCCACUCUAGGUUCCCACGCCGCCCCUAAUCCCGCUUGAAGCAGCGCUGAGAAACAUCGCCCAUUCUCUCUCCAUACCACCCCCCAAAAGUUUUCGCCGCCCCAACACUUCAACACUAUUUUGUUUUAUUUUUCUUAUUAAUAUAAGAAGGCAGGAAUGUCAGGCCUCUGAGCCCAAGCCAAGCCAUCGCAUCCCCUGUGACUUGCACGUAUACGCCCAGAUGGCCUGAAAUAACUGAAGAAUCACAAAAGAAGUGAAUAUGCCCUGCCCCACCUUAACUGAUGACAUUCCACCACAAAAGAAGUGUAAAUGGCCGGUCCUUGCCUUAACUGAUGACAUUACCUUGUGAAAGUCCUUUUCCUGGCUCAUCCUGGCUCAAAAAGCACCCCCACUGAGCACCUUGCGACCCCCACUCCUGCCCGCCAGAGAACAAACCCCCUUUGACUGUAAUUUUCCUUUACCUACCCAAAUCCUAUAAAACGGCCCCACCCUUAUCUCCCUUCACUGACUCUCUUUUCGGACUCAGCCUGCCUGCACCCAGGGUGGUUUUCAUGGAGACAAAAGGUGGAGAAGGACAGUCCCGUGAAGUGGAUGCAACAGUUGAAGGUAACAGUAAGUCUUCAUCAAGAGCCAGACAUGCCUUAGAAUAACAGCAGGUGAAGAGAGAAAAAGUACAGGAAAACAAACAAGGAUGGAAGUAUGGUACAGGAGGGUGCACAGUGAAUAGAAGAAAAUGCUAUGGAAGACUACUCCUCACCGAGCAAAACCCGACUAGGUGGAACGUGGACUGAAGGUGGAGAUGAAUUCAAGAGUUUUACGGAGGGCACCUGUCACCUAAUCACAGCGCCAACGACGCUACCAAGAAAGCAUCAUGGCCUUUUCUUUUACAGGCACUUUGUUUACAGGACAAAUCAAGGAAAUCAAGGAAAAGGCAUCUUUUCUCUUCCAGAUCACUUUUAGAAUCCAAGAUUUGGUACACUGGGACAAAUAAAAACACAUAGCUAUGAAAGGGUCGAUGAGAUCCCAUUUGUAACUUGGCUAAAUAGAGUUGUUUCAGUACCUGACAACUUGAGUUCAAUCUGUAUUAUUCUGAAUGUAUAAUUGAUGUGGCCAUCAGUUUCCAGUAAAGGAACUUUUGUUUUGCUUUUUUCCCCCCACUUUCCCUCAGAAGGAAUGGCUUUCUCAUUAGGAAAUGUUCGCAUGCCCUCAGAAAAGGUGUUUGGAAUAGAAAGACUCCCCGGAAUCAGAUUAAAAUGCCAGCAGAGUUGAGUAUGUUCUUCCCCAUUUUGAGCUAGUUAAAUGAGAACUCACGCCAUUCUCCACACAGGGAACUUCUUAGGUAAAACUAUUAAAGCCAUGGAACCAUUUACUUAGUGUGGUUAUUAAAAUCCUAUGGCACUCUGGUGAACAGUGCUGUGGACUGGCAGCCAGAAUAUCUUUUCCAAUUCUAGCCCCUAUAUUUCCUGGAUUUAUAGAAGCAAAGCAACUAGGAAAGCUGUAGGUCUUCUCACCCAUUUUGUAGAUAUUUGUUGAGUACCCAAUGUUUUAGGCACUGGAGUACAAUAAUAAACCAGAUCUAGCACAGUCCUUGCCUUCACAGUUCAGAGUCAUGAAGGAAACAAACCAGUAAAAAGGCAAUUGUAACGUCAUACCCAUUAGCAUGGCCAUGAUAAAAGAGAGAGAGAGAGGAGGAAAAAAAGGAAAGAAAGAAGUGUUGGUGAGGACACUAAACAAUCAGAACCCUCAUACAGUGUUGGUGUCAAUGUAAAAUGAUGCGGCUACUCUAGAAAAGUCCUCCAAAAGCUCAAUACAGAAUCAGAAUAACCAUACAAUGUAGCAGUGUCACUGCUAGGUACAUACUCAAGACCAUUGAAAACAUGGCCAUACAAAAACUUGUACACAAAUGUUAAUAGAAGCAUUAUUUAUUAAUACUCAAAAAGUGGAAACAAUCCAAAUGUCCAUCAGCUGACGAAUGGAUAUACAAAAUGUGGUACAUACAUACAAUGGAAUAUUUCAACCAUAAAAUGAAAUGAAGUACUGAUACAUAAUACAACAUGGAUGAACCUUAGAAACAUAUUUAGUGCAAGAAGACAGA
RNAcentral lists this long non-coding RNA (6867 nucleotides) under Homo sapiens (human). RNAcentral describes it as "HSALNT0369382". Lineage: Eukaryota; Metazoa; Chordata; Mammalia; Primates; Hominidae. The record is from RNAcentral.